Paramisgurnus dabryanus is the source of this 710-nucleotide long non-coding RNA. RefSeq lists it as uncharacterized. NCBI's taxonomy places the organism in Eukaryota, Metazoa, Chordata, Actinopteri, Cypriniformes, Cobitidae. The record is from RefSeq and is a predicted model, not a curated record.
AGUAAACAAACCACGAUGGCAGAGUGUAGUGUUGAAAAAGAGAUGGCAGAAGGGGAUUUUGAUGACCUGUUGCUCGAAUCUGAUGUUCGCGGUUACCUGUACGAGCCGCAAUACAACGAGGAACAGUUACGGAUGAUCGAGGAACAAGAGGCUGCCACAGCAGCUGCUGUAGCCGAGGUGGUGCGAGACGAAGAGCCCAGCCAGACUCGAGUUGGCGCGGUCUGGUGGUGUAGGUGCGCUCGCUGUGCGCCUAUGGACACCGAAAAAGAGUCAUAUUGCUGUCUCGAAUUUCAGCGAUGCCAUUUUCUUCUUGAAGAAAUGGCUGAAUCUGCUGUGGAAACGGGACCGCCAGUAUAUGUAACACAGCACCGAAGCUUUGAUCCACACAUGGACAGGGGAGUCCUGGAAACUUAUUUCAGGAUUCCGAAGGUGAAUUGGAAACGCCAGCCAAAGCCCGCAGGGAGAAACGGAAGCAUGAGUAUAAAACAAUAUCGACUUGCAUCCUACCGUCAUUUCGUGGAAUGGUUUUGCAAGGCGAAAGACUGGGGUUAGGCUAUCGACUUGUUUUACCUGCCUGUGUUGUUCAGGACAUCAGACGGAGAUAUCCAGCUCCUCACGGACAUUAUAGCGGCUAUAAAGAAACGGAUGAAGCUCUGGAUGAGCUAUAAGUGUGAAUUGUUUAUGUUUUUUUAAUAAAAAGUUAAAACUCA